GUGUUGAAUGAAAGGAGUAAAGGUUACUUCUCCCCUUGACAAGAUUGGAAGAGUCCCUUGGACCUAACAUGUGUACAGUUAAGGCAUUCCCAACUACUUUGCAGCACCUAACAACUGGGGUGG
Molecule: small nuclear RNA, 123 nt
Organism: Jaculus jaculus (lesser Egyptian jerboa)
Lineage: Eukaryota; Metazoa; Chordata; Mammalia; Rodentia; Dipodidae
Source: Ensembl